UGGCGAACGGGUGAGUAAUAUAUCGGAACGUACCCUUGGGUGGGGGAUAACGUAGCGAAAGUUACGCUAAUACCGCAUACGAUCUACGGAUGAAAGUGGGGGCUCCGCAAGGACCUCAUGCUCAUGGAGCGGCCGAUAUCUGAUUAGCUAGUUGGUAGGGUAAAAGCCUACCAAGGCAUCGAUCAGUAGCUGGUCUGAGAGGACGACCAGCCACACUGGAACUGAGACACGGUCCAGACUCCUACGGGAGGCAGCAGUGGGGAAUUUUGGACAAUGGGCGAAAGCCUGAUCCAGCAAUGCCGCGUGAGUGAAGAAGGUUUUCGGAUCGUAAAGCUCUGUUGUGAGGGAAGAACAAGUACGGGAGUAACUGCCCGUACCUUGACGGUACCUCAUUAGAAAGCCACGGCUAACUACGUGCCAGCAGCCGCGGUAAUACGUAGGUGGCAAGCGUUGUCCGGAAUUAUUGGGCGUAAAGCGCGCGCAGGCGGUCCUUUAAGUCUGAUGUGAAAGCCCACGGCUCAACCGUGGAGGGUCAUUG
This 538-nucleotide ribosomal RNA is filed under the name uncultured Janthinobacterium sp. Its description in RNAcentral is "bacterial SSU rRNA". It matches the Rfam family "Bacterial small subunit ribosomal RNA", at positions 96 to 628 of the family's 1533-position model. The record is from RNAcentral. Lineage: Bacteria; Pseudomonadati; Pseudomonadota; Betaproteobacteria; Burkholderiales; Oxalobacteraceae.